AAUGGGGGAAACCCUGAUGCAGCGACGCCGCGUGAAGGAAGAAGUAUCUCGGUAUGUAAACUUCUAUCAGCAGGGAAGAUAGUGACGGUACCUGACUAAGAAGCCCCGGCUAACUACGUGCCAGCAGCCGCGGUAAUACGUAGGGGGCAAGCGUUAUCCGGAUUUACUGGGUGUAAAGGGAGCGUAGACGGUGUGGCAAGUCUGAUGUGAAAGGCAUGGGCUCAACCUGUGGACUGCAUUGGACACUGUCAUACUUGAGUGCCGGAGGGGUAAGCGGAAUUCCUAGUGUAGCGGUGAAAUGCGUAGAUAUUAGGAGGAACACCAGUGGCGAAGGCGGCUUACUGGACGGUAACUGACGUUGAGGCUCGAAAGCGUGGGGAGCAAA
Molecule: ribosomal RNA, 385 nt
Filed under: uncultured bacterium
Lineage: Bacteria
Description: bacterial SSU rRNA
Rfam family: Bacterial small subunit ribosomal RNA
Source: RNAcentral